CCCUUAGAUGUUCUGGGCCGCACGCGUGCUACACUGAGUGGAUCAGCGGGUCAGGUUGCGCGAAAGUGUUUCCUAAUCUUGAAAUCCGCUCGUGAUGGGGAUUGACGGUUGCAAUUUUCCGUAAUGAACGAGGAAUACCUUGUAAGCGCGGGUCAUCAUCCCGCGCUGAAUACGUCCCUGCCCUUUGUACACACCGCCCGUCGCUCCUACCGAUUGAGUGGUCCGGUGAGGCUUUGGGAUCUGAGCGGAAAGAGCGUUUCGCUGUUUCUGCUCGGAAAACUCAGUCGAACCUUAUCAUUUAGAGGAAGGAGAAGUCGUAACA
RNAcentral lists this ribosomal RNA (322 nucleotides) under uncultured eukaryote. RNAcentral's name for it is "partial 18S ribosomal RNA". It matches the Rfam family "Eukaryotic small subunit ribosomal RNA", at positions 1470 to 1796 of the family's 1831-position model. The record is from RNAcentral.